GAGAGAGAGAGACAGAGGGCGGCGGUGAGGGCGGCCCCGGGCGGAGCGGAGCGGCGCGGCCGGCGCCCCUCACCUGGAUGCGGGACUCGGGGAUCUGCGUGGCGUCGGCCAGCUUCUCCCGCAGGAUGCAAGUUAGAUCCACCUGGGGAGCCCCAGCAGCUCAGACGGGGCAGAGACAGACGCUGGUGUCAUCACCUUUUCCACCCACUGGUUAAUGCGUGCGCACUCCCGCUCGCACUCACGCAGCCCAGGCACUUCUGCGAUAACUGUUUCCCAGCUGGAGAGAGUCUCGCGCCGAAACGUUGCCCGCACACUCCAACAAGGCUCUAUGCCUGACCAUCGCCAAGGCACUUCAAAAUGGGUUU
Molecule: long non-coding RNA, 365 nt
Organism: Harpia harpyja (harpy eagle)
Lineage: Eukaryota; Metazoa; Chordata; Aves; Accipitriformes; Accipitridae
Exons: 3
Source: RefSeq, a predicted model, not a curated record